UACGUAGGGUGCGAGCGUUGUCCGGAAUUAUUGGGCGUAAAGGGCUCGUAGGCGGUUUGUCGCGUCGGGAGUGAAAUCCACUGGCUUAACUGGUGGCUUGCUUUCGAUACGGGCAGACUGGAGGUAUGCAGGGGAGAACGGAAUUCCUGGUGUAGCGGUGAAAUGCGCAGAUAUCAGGAGGAACACCGGUGGCGAAGGCGGUUCUCUGGGCAUGUCCUGACGCUGAGGAGCGAAAGCAUGGGUAGCGAACAGG
This 253-nucleotide ribosomal RNA is filed under the name uncultured bacterium. RNAcentral describes it as "partial 16S ribosomal RNA". It matches the Rfam family "Bacterial small subunit ribosomal RNA", at positions 524 to 776 of the family's 1533-position model. The record is from RNAcentral.